Transfer RNA from Camelus ferus (Wild Bactrian camel), 73 nucleotides. It matches the Rfam family "tRNA". From Rfam's summary of the family: Transfer RNA (tRNA) molecules are approximately 80 nucleotides in length. Their secondary structure includes four short double-helical elements and three loops (D, anti-codon, and T loops). Further hydrogen bonds mediate the characteristic L-shaped molecular structure. tRNAs have two regions of fundamental functional importance: the anti-codon, which is responsible for specific mRNA codon recognition, and the 3' end, to which the tRNAs corresponding amino acid is attached (by aminoacyl-tRNA synthetases). tRNAs cope with the degeneracy of the genetic code in two manners: having more than one tRNA (with a specific anti-codon) for a particular amino acid; and 'wobble' base-pairing, i.e. permitting non-standard base-pairing at the 3rd anti-codon position. Lineage: Eukaryota; Metazoa; Chordata; Mammalia; Artiodactyla; Camelidae. The record is from Rfam.
GAGGGUAUAGCUCAAGUGGUAGAGUGCAUGCUUAGCAUGCACAGGGUCCUGGGUUCAAUCCCCAGUAACUUCU